GACGAACGCUGGCGGCGUGCUUAACACAUGCAAGUCGAACGAAGAGCGAUGGAAGCUUGCUUCUAUCAAUCUUAGUGGCGCACGGGUGAGUAACGCGUAAUCAACCUGCCCUUCAGAGGGGGACAACAGUUGGAAACGACUGCUAAUACCGCAUACGAUCUAAUCUCGGCAUCGAGGAUAGAUGAAAGGUGGCCCCUACAUGUAAGCUAUCACUGAAGGAGGGGAAUGCGUCUGAUUAGCUAGCUGGGGGGGUAACGGCCCACCAAGGCGAUGAUCAGUAGCCGGUCUGGGAAGAUGGACGGCCACAUUGGGACUGGGACACGGCCCAGACUCCUACGGGGAGCAGCAGGGGGGAAUCUUCCGCAAUGGACGAAAGUCUGACGGAGCAACGCCGCGUGGGUGAUGGCGGCCUUCGGGUUGUAAAGCUCUGUUAAUCGGGAAGGAAGGCCUGCUUGCGAAUAGUGAGAAGGAUUGACGGUACCGGAAUAGAAAGCCACGGCUAACUACGUG
RNAcentral lists this ribosomal RNA (510 nucleotides) under uncultured bacterium. Its description in RNAcentral is "partial 16S ribosomal RNA". It matches the Rfam family "Bacterial small subunit ribosomal RNA", at positions 28 to 507 of the family's 1533-position model. The record is from RNAcentral.